RNAcentral lists this ribosomal RNA (373 nucleotides) under uncultured Acetobacter sp. RNAcentral's name for it is "bacterial SSU rRNA". It matches the Rfam family "Bacterial small subunit ribosomal RNA", at positions 355 to 743 of the family's 1533-position model. The record is from RNAcentral. Lineage: Bacteria; Pseudomonadati; Pseudomonadota; Alphaproteobacteria; Acetobacterales; Acetobacteraceae.
UGGGGAAUAUUGGACAAUGGGGGCAACCCUGAUCCAGCAAUGCCGCGUGUGUGAAGAAGGUCUUCGGAUUGUAAAGCACUUUCGACGGGGACGAUGAUGACGGUACCCGUAGAAGAAGCCCCGGCUAACUUCGUGCCAGCAGCCGCGGUAAUACGAAGGGGGCUAGCGUUGCUCGGAAUGACUGGGCGUAAAGGGCGUGUAGGCGGUUUGUACAGUCAGAUGUGAAAUCCCCGGGCUUAACCUGGGAGCUGCAUUUGAUACGUGCAGACUAGAGUGUGAGAGAGGGUUGUGGAAUUCCCAGUGUAUGAGGUGAAAUUCGUAGAUAUUGGGAAGAACACCGGUGGCGAAGGCGGCAACCCUGGCUCAUUACUAC